Molecule: small RNA, 309 nt
Filed under: uncultured bacterium
Lineage: Bacteria
Description: bacterial SSU rRNA
Rfam family: Bacterial small subunit ribosomal RNA
Source: RNAcentral
AACACAUGGAAAAAGAACGAAGAGGUCCCUUCGGGGAUACUUCAGUGGCGGAUUGCCGAGUAACACGUAGGUGACCUGCCCCGAAGUGUGGAAUAGCAGUCCGAAAGGAUUGCUAAUACCGCAUGUGGUCUGUGAGGUUAGAGUCUUGCAGACUAAAGCAGUAAUGUGCUUCGGGAGGGGCCUGCGCCCCAUCAGCUAGUUGGUAGGGUAAUGGCCUACCAAGGCUACAACGGGUAGGGGGCCUGAGAGGGUGACCCCCCACAUUGGCACUGACACACGGGCCAAACUCCUACGGGAGGCAGCAGUGGG